This is a long non-coding RNA of Haliotis rubra (blacklip abalone), 161 nucleotides long. RefSeq lists it as uncharacterized. NCBI's taxonomy places the organism in Eukaryota, Metazoa, Mollusca, Gastropoda, Lepetellida, Haliotidae. The transcript has 2 exons. The record is from RefSeq and is a predicted model, not a curated record.
AUCCUUACUCCUUCAUCAGGUGAAUGAAUGCGUGGUAUGAGGCAGAGAACAUAUACACUGUAUAUGUACAUGUAAGAACAACAAAAGUAAUAAGUCAACAAAGAUGGAGGCUAAACAAUGGAAGCCAACACUUAACUGGCGUUGAUGUGUGAUUAGCAAAG